Molecule: ribosomal RNA, 269 nt
Filed under: uncultured prokaryote
Description: partial 16S ribosomal RNA
Rfam family: Bacterial small subunit ribosomal RNA
Source: RNAcentral
UACAUAAGGAGCAAGCGUUAUCCGGAAUUAUUGGGCGUAAAGAGCUCGUAGGCGGCUUGGCAAGUCAGAUGUGAAAGCCCCGGGCUUAACCCGGGAAUUGCAUCUGAAACUGCUUUGCUUGAGUCCUGGAGGGGAUAGUGGAAUUCCCAGUGUAGCGGUGAAAUGCGUAGAUAUUGGGAGGAACACCUGCGGCGAAGGCGGCUAUCUGGACAGUGACUGACGCUGAUGCGCGAAAGCUAGGGGAGCGAACGGGAUUAGAUACCCCAGUA